RNAcentral lists this ribosomal RNA (279 nucleotides) under uncultured bacterium. Its description in RNAcentral is "partial 16S ribosomal RNA". It matches the Rfam family "Bacterial small subunit ribosomal RNA", at positions 506 to 784 of the family's 1533-position model. The record is from RNAcentral.
UGCCAGCCGCCGCGGUAAUACGGAGGGGGUUAGCGUUGUUCGGAAUUACUGGGCGUAAAGCGCACGUAGGCGGAUUGGAAAGUUGGGGGUGAAAUCCCGGGGCUCAACCCCGGAACUGCCUCCAAAACUAUCAGUCUAGGGUUCGAGAGAGGUGAGUGGAAUUCCAAGUGUAGAGGUGAAAUUCGUAGAUAUUCGGAGGAACACCAAUUGCGAAGGCAGUUCACUGGACCGUGAUCGACGCUGAGGAGCGAAAGCUAGGGGAGCAAACAGGAUUAGAUA